GAUUUAAACAAAUCUCAUCUCAAAUUAAUAUUAUUAAAGCCACAAAUUAUCUUAAUAGCUACAUUCUACAUAAAUACUUCGGUCUGCCAGAAAAACUAGGCGAGACCCGAAGCUCAGAAAAUUUACAACUGAUACAUUUACUAUUACUACUGCGGAGAAUCUAAGAUUUACCAAUUUACAUACCAAAUCAAAUACAUCACUCGAUGAUGAAGGAGUCGGGUUACUGAAUAAGAGUCGCGGGAGAACUAACAGUCACGAAUCUGAAAAAAACAUAAAUGGAGACUGUCAGUCUCGAGAGUGAGUUAAAAUCAAA
RNAcentral lists this long non-coding RNA (313 nucleotides) under Ricinus communis (castor bean). RNAcentral's name for it is "long non-coding RNA (RCOM_LNC002973)". The record is from RNAcentral. Lineage: Eukaryota; Viridiplantae; Streptophyta; Magnoliopsida; Malpighiales; Euphorbiaceae.